UUGGAGGGCAAGUCUGGUGCCAGCAGCCGCGGUAAUUCCAGCUCCAACAGCGUAUAUUAAAGUUGUUGCAGUUAAAAAGCUCGUAGUUGAAUUUCGGGGUCAGUAGGUUGGUCAUGCCACAGGUAUGUACUGGUCUCACUGAUUCCUCCUUCCUGAUGAACUGUAAUGCCAUUAAUUUGGUGUUGCAGGGAAUCUGGACUGUUACUUUGAAAAAAUUAGAGUGUUUAAAGCAGGCUAACGCCUGAAUACAUUAGCAUGGAAUAAUGAAAUAGGACGUUCGAUCCUAUUUUGUUGGUUUCUAGGAUUGACGUAAUGAUUAAUAGGGAUAGUUGGGGGCAUUAGUAUUCAAUUGUCAGAGGUGAAAUUCUUGGAUUUAUUGAAGACUAACUACUGCGAAAGCAUUUGCCAAGGAUGUUUUCAUUAAUCAAGAACGAAAGUUAGGGGAUCGAAGACGAUCAGAUACCGUCGUAGUCUUAACCAUAAACUAUGCCGACUAGGGAUCGGAUGAUGUUAAUUUUUUAAUGACUCAUUCGGCGCCUUACGGGAAAC
RNAcentral lists this ribosomal RNA (549 nucleotides) under uncultured Rhizophagus. Its description in RNAcentral is "SSU rRNA". It matches the Rfam family "Eukaryotic small subunit ribosomal RNA", at positions 548 to 1098 of the family's 1831-position model. Lineage: Eukaryota; Fungi; Glomeromycota; Glomeromycetes; Glomerales; Glomeraceae. The record is from RNAcentral.